This 85-nucleotide transfer RNA is filed under the name Limihaloglobus sulfuriphilus. RNAcentral describes it as "Phycisphaerae bacterium SM-Chi-D1 tRNA". It matches the Rfam family "tRNA". Rfam says of the family: Transfer RNA (tRNA) molecules are approximately 80 nucleotides in length. Their secondary structure includes four short double-helical elements and three loops (D, anti-codon, and T loops). Lineage: Bacteria; Pseudomonadati; Planctomycetota; Phycisphaerae; Sedimentisphaerales; Sedimentisphaeraceae. The record is from Rfam by way of RNAcentral.
GGAUGAGUGACCGAGCGGUUUAAGGUGGCGGUCUUGAAAACCGUUGUACGGAAACGUACCGGGGGUUCGAAUCCCUCCUCAUCCG